This 1925-nucleotide long non-coding RNA is filed under the name Trifolium pratense (red clover). Its description in RNAcentral is "long non-coding RNA (TPRA_LNC001992)". The record is from RNAcentral. Lineage: Eukaryota; Viridiplantae; Streptophyta; Magnoliopsida; Fabales; Fabaceae.
AGGAAGGCAAAUUAAAAACGCGGUGAUUAGAUAGAUUUCCGUUUUUUUGAACAGGUAAGUAUGGAUCUAAUCUAAGAGUAAGUUUGGUUAAGAUUAUUAAAAAACACAUUUUUUUAUAUUUUGACUAAGUUCUGUUUGUGUAUAAAUUUUGUAAAAAUAUAUUUUGUCAAAAAAUUUACUUAUAUGUUGAAAAUAAUUUUUUUUCGUUAAUUAGCUUUUGAAGAAAAACAUUUUUAAUAGAAGAGAAGGUAAUACAAAAUCUCUUUCAUAAUUUUAACCAUACACAAUAGUUUAUGUUAUUCUUUUAUUUUUCACAAGUAGAUUAUAGAUUAUGAUAUUCUUUAAAAUAUCUAAAUUAUUUAAUAUUAAAAUCAGUUUUCUUUUUGAUCUACAUUCUUGCCUUUAUUUUCCUUGAUUAUAUUAAAUAAAGUUUCUAAGAAAGUUUCAUGUUAUUGUAAUAUUCGAAACAUAGUUAUUCAUGAAUUAAUUUAGCGUUUAAAAUGUUAUAUAUAAUGUAUAUCACAUUAAGUAGCAAGUUGUUGACUUUCUCAUUAUGCUGUUAGUAUUUGGGGAGCUUCAUAAAGAAUGAAAUUAAUCACCUUUGGCUUUAAAAGAAAUUUUUUGUUGGAGGUUAAUUGUGUAGACUACUCCAUAAACAAUUAUAGAAAACUUUAAUCGUCGUGAAUACCAAAUUUAUUGAAGAUAUAUAUAAAAAAAUGCCAAUUUAUCACGAUUCAUAUUAAAAAAAUUAAAUAAUAAAAAUUUAUAUAUUAUUAUUUGCUAAAUUUUUUGUAGCCAUAUAUCUCAAAACAUCACGUGUUUGAUUAUCAACCCGUAUGUUCAUUUCAAUUGUCCAAUUCUUUGCUCUUUCUCUCACAGAAAAUAUUUGAGUUUCAAGUGGAGUAACAAACACCUUUUUCUCAAGAUUUUAUUUCUUAGAAGGAAUGUUUUAAGAGGUGGUUGUUACUCGACUUGAAGCUCGAAGAUUUUCUGAGAGUGGAAGAGCAUAGAAUUGGACUAUUGAAUUGAGUAAAUUGAUUGAUAAUGGAACACGAGAUGUUUUAAGAUAUGGCUACAAAUUUUUUAGGAAAUAAUAAAAUGAUUUUUUAUUAAUUAGUUUUUACUAUUACUAUGAAUUAUGAUAAAUUAGUAAUUUUUUUAUACAUCUUUAUAAAUUUGGUAUUUCAUGACAACUAAAAUUUUGUAUAAUUGUUUAGGCAGUAUUCUAUACAAUUACCCUCGAACAAAAACUUUCGUUCAAAGAUAGAAGUGAUUAAUUUCGUUCUUUAUGAAGCUCCUUCAAAUACUAACAAUAAGAAGAGAAAGUUGGUUGAACUUUCUACUGAAUUUGAUAUAUAUCAUGUUUAACAUUUCAAACAAUGAAUUAAUUAAAGCUUAAAUAUGAUUUUGGUCCUUGUAAAUAUGACUCAUUUUGAUUUUUGUCCCUUUAAAAAAACAUUUGAUUUAUACCCCUGUAAAAAAACUUGUUCUACCAAAAUAAUGUUGUACUGAAAUCCCUCAAAUUACAGAGAAGAAGAUCUAGAAAAUAGAAUGAUUUCCGAAAGAAAUUAAGAAGCAUGAGACAGAGGUUAGUUGAACUUUAUAGGAUAAAUGUAUGAAACUAGAUGAAGGGGAAAAGGAGGAUGUUGGAACUUUUGAGGACAUAUAUACAGAUGAGCUUGAGUAAAAUGACAAUUGGUUCUGUUUAUCGCUUUAAUAUAUUCAGCGUCUGUCUUGCUGCAUCACAUGCUAUAACAUUUUGUGUAACAUUGUGUUCACUGCGUACCAGAUUUCAAAGGUAUUAAGAUCAUUAAAUCCAAAAUUUGAUUUCAUAGUAGUAGCCUUACAAGAAGCAAAAUAUGUGAAAACUAUGAAGAUCAAAGAAUUGCAAAGUUCAUUAAAGAAUACAUUAACUUAUGGUGGUU